AUGAGGCCGGUGUGGCUCUGACAUCUGUCACCCCAUUGAUCUAGGGUUGAUUCUGCUGAUCUGGCUGCCUGGGCGGGCUCCCCUUCCUCCCUCCCCAAAGCUGUGCCCUCUCUGGAGGAGGAGGGCCACCCCGACAGAGGAGGACUGACCGUUUCCUCAGUCAAGCAUAUAUGAGCAGCUGUGCUCCCCUGCUAGCACCUCCAAACAAGCAAUCAGAAAUCCCAAAGGACAAGGAAGUGGGCUGUGUACCAUACAGUGAUUCCACGAGGAACAGAAAUAAU
RNAcentral lists this small nuclear RNA (281 nucleotides) under Fukomys damarensis (Damara mole-rat). RNAcentral's name for it is "7SK RNA". It matches the Rfam family "7SK RNA". Rfam says of the family: 7SK was discovered as an abundant small nuclear RNA in the mid-70s but a possible function has only recently been suggested. Two independent studies have found that 7SK RNA binds the CDK9/cyclin T complex (known as elongation factor P-TEFb). P-TEFb activates transcription by phosphorylating the C-terminal domain of RNA polymerase II. The record is from Rfam by way of RNAcentral. Lineage: Eukaryota; Metazoa; Chordata; Mammalia; Rodentia; Bathyergidae.